AGAGAAUCAUGGUCUUUUAAAAACCUUGUCAUCUACCUUUGAGAGAUCUGGAAUGCCAGAAAAGAAAUGGGGCAUUUUGAGGCUUAUAUCUUGAAAGCCAGGAAGACUUUGGAAUAAUGUUUGAGUCCCAGCUGUGUGAGUGAACUUGGGCAAGUUAAUUAACCUUGGUCAGCUGCAAUUUCCUCAUCUUGAAAACACAGGUGGACCCUUGACUCUGAACCACUCAAAUGAUGUGGGCUUGCUUUGUAUCCCCAUGACAUCUGAAAGUGAAAGAAUAAAAUGCUACAGCAGAAAGUGAAUGGCUUUCCAGAGUCAUAGAGGAAUGGCAGGAACCAGA
This is a long non-coding RNA of Heterocephalus glaber (naked mole-rat), 337 nucleotides long. The record is from Ensembl. NCBI's taxonomy places the organism in Eukaryota, Metazoa, Chordata, Mammalia, Rodentia, Bathyergidae.